Amphiprion ocellaris (clown anemonefish) is the source of this 1999-nucleotide long non-coding RNA. The record is from Ensembl. NCBI's taxonomy places the organism in Eukaryota, Metazoa, Chordata, Actinopteri, Pomacentridae.
UUUUGUGGUAGUUUUGCAUCUAGUUUUGGUCUUCUUACAUGUUGUUUUGUUUCAUUUUGGUGUUUUUACAUCUUUUUGUGGGUGUUUUCCAUCCAAUUUUGUAUGGAAAUUUAAUGUCUUUUGGAGGUUUAUUGCUUAAUAAUUUGGCUGUUUUACAUCCUUUAUGUCACAUUUUGGUAGUUUUACAUGUUUGUGGUAGUUAUGCAUCACAUUGUGGUCGUUUUAUGUCACCUGGGUCACAUUUUGAUCAUUUUUACAGAAGAGAAUCAUCUGUAAAACAUUUCUCAGGAGAUCGGUGGCAGUAAGAUGAGUGAAUGUCAAGAGACAAACAGGAGAGAGAACGAACACUAAGUAUUCCUGAUUUAAAGCAGAGUUUUGGGUGAAACCGAUGGUGUAAAAUGCUGGAAAAAGGCUUUGUGUGAUUUUCAAUGAGGCAAAUCCGAAGACGCCUCUGAUUCCAAGCAGCUGCUGAAAGACGCUGAUCAGCAGAAGAAGCUCAAAGUUCAGAUGCAUAAAGUCAGACGAGUCUCUUGAGCUGCUUCAGUCUCGACCAGCAGGAAUGUGGUCAGAAGUCGGAGUCGUCUGUGGCCGAGUUAUCGGCGGCGAGGAUUCCUGUUGGCUCUGGCGGCGGCUCGUGUCCAUCCUGCUGCUGCUGCUGCUGCUGCUCCCUCUUCUUCUUCUUGUUGUGGUUCUUGACAUGCACGCUCAACCCCCUCUCAGUCAUUUCGUAGAUCUGACACUUGGCGCAGUAGUAUGGCGACACCCCGACGUGCCGGAACUGGUCUGCGAGGUACGAUGCCAGCGUCUUGAAGCCCUUGCUGCAGACGUGGCAGCGCGGGACGACGCCCGGGUGCUCCUUCUCCAGGUGCUUCCUCAGACCCCACCUGGAGCCACUGAACGCCUCCAGACCGCCGGCCGGGCACACGUGGCAAGUGAAGACGGCGUCCUGGUUGGCGUGGCGACGGGUGUGGGCGUCCAGCUCCACCUGCGUGCGGACCGACUGCUGGCAGGACGUGCAGAAGAACGUCUUCUUGCCCUCCAUGUGGUGCGUCUGCUUCAGGUGCACGGCGAGGCCCGACGCCCUCUUGAAGGUCUUGCCGGGCGGCGGACACAUGGUGCACACCAGCUGCCUCUGCCCCGAGUUCAUGACAUCGCUGUAGUCCUCACCCAGCUCCAGGACGCUCUUGUUGCUUACCAGCUCCUCCCUCCUCGCCUCCUCCAGCUUCCUCUUCUGCUCUAGCCUCGGCCUCAUCAGUCUGGACGGUGGCGGAUCUGCGCUCCUCUCUCGGACCACCGGCCGCUUCACAACCGGCUUCUUGGCGGGAAGCGAGCGGUCGACGGACACGGUGAACUGGUAGCUCUCUCCCUCCUCUUCGGGGUUGGAGUACUCGAUGACGUAGACGCCCUCCUCCUCCUCCUCUACCACCUCCUCCUCGGCGGGCAGCGAAUACUCCAUCUCGUAGUACUCGGUCACGUUGCUCCUCGCCUUCCCGCCCAUGUGCGACUGCUCCCCUGCGAUGUGCGUGUCGUCGAUCCUCACCACGGUGAUCUGGUCCAUGCUGCCGGCAGCCUCCCAGUUUCCGUUUCCGGCCAUGACCGAGGACGACGACGCUUUUCCUGCAGCUCCACCUCGAAGAUGUUCAGAAGAUGUCUGGAACAAGAAAAUAAAUAUAAAUGCAUGUUUUAUUACAGAAAAAAACACACAAAAAUACCCUUUAACCCUUUUGCUGUAUUCAUUGAUUGGCACCAAAAAAUAUUUUUAAAAAAAUCUAAUAAAAAAAAUCCAAAAAUUCAGCAAAAAAAUCCCCCAAAUUUCUGAAAAUUUGCAAAACCUUCAGGAAGAAAAUUCCAAUAAUUCCUUGAAAGUUUCCCUUAAAAGUUUCAUUUGAAAAAAAUCCCUCCAAUUUGGCAAGAAAAUUCUUGUAAAUAUUUUCAAAAAAUGAGUAAAAAUCUUCCAAAAAAAUCCUAAAAAUAUCUAAAGUGAUUCCAUAUAUAUCAG